GUGCUCGCUUCAGCAGCACAUAUACUAAAAUUGGAAUGAUACAGAGAAGAUUAGCAGGGCCCCUGCGUAAGGGUAUAAUCAUAGUAUAGUUUUUCGUUUUAAUUUU
This 106-nucleotide small nuclear RNA is filed under the name Propithecus coquereli (Coquerel's sifaka). Lineage: Eukaryota; Metazoa; Chordata; Mammalia; Primates; Indriidae. The record is from RNAcentral.